RNAcentral lists this long non-coding RNA (647 nucleotides) under Nicotiana benthamiana. RNAcentral's name for it is "long non-coding RNA (NBEN_LNC023459)". Lineage: Eukaryota; Viridiplantae; Streptophyta; Magnoliopsida; Solanales; Solanaceae. The record is from RNAcentral.
AUCUAUAAAAAGAGCUCUUUCUCCUUUUCAUAAUAAUAAGGUAAGCAUCCAGCUCUCGAUCCAGAGCUACUGCUUCAAGAAUCAACUGAGCUCAGGAAGUCAGGUUAAGACGUCGACUUUGACAGGGGAGAUGAAAAAGAAUUCCUGUCUUUAGAAGUAAAUCCCACUAAACUAGACUUGUACGCUUGACAUGAAAAGUAGAGGCAAGCGGAGUCAAAGGCCGAGCCUCAACCAGCAAAGGGGGACAGCCAUGCCAAUCCAAGCACAGUAAAAGUGUGCCCACUCUACCCUUCUUUCUUUACCCUAGACUUCGUUCUUCAAGGAGACCCAUGUGCAUUUCCUCUGUUCUGUGCUCGCUACGCCCUUGUGCCUUUAGUUGAAGUAUAGGUCGUCGAUUCAAUCUAUCUUGAUGGGAUUUUUCUAGUAGGUAGCGAGAAGACUAGUAGUAUCGACAAGGGGCUACAUCAAUAGCUGAAACUUUUUUUCGGGUAGGGUAGGCUUGGAGUCAGAAGUCCUAUUCUUCCCAACCAAAUAAGCACUUUUGCAAAGUUCACCUUCCCGCGGUCAAAACAAGACUUACGGAUAACAAUCAGACCUUACCAGGGACAGGGACCAGACUAUAGAGCCUAAUUAAAAAGAAUUCGGGC